This 526-nucleotide ribosomal RNA is filed under the name uncultured bacterium. RNAcentral describes it as "bacterial SSU rRNA". It matches the Rfam family "Bacterial small subunit ribosomal RNA", at positions 355 to 896 of the family's 1533-position model. The record is from RNAcentral.
CAAGGAAUUUUGGACAAUGGGCGAAAGCCUGAUCCAGCGACGCCGCGUGGGGGAUGAAGGCCUCCGGGUUGUAAACCCCUUUUCUCGGGGAGGAAUAAUGACAGUACCUGAGGAAUAAGCCACGGCUAACUACGUGCCAGCAGCCGCGGUGAAACGUAGGUGGCGAGCGUUACCCGGAUUUAUUGGGCGUAAAGAGGGCGCAGGCGGCUUUUCAAGUCGGAUGUAAAAUGUCCCGGCUUAACCGGGAAGGAUCGUUCGAAACUGUUAAGCUAGAGUGCAACAGGGGGAGGUAGAAUUCCCGGUGUAGUGGUGAAAUGCGUAGACAUCGGGAGGAAUACCAGUGGCGAAGGCGGCCUCCUGGACCGUUCCUGACGCUCAGACGCGAAAGCUAGGGGAGCGAACGGGAUUAGAAACCCCGGUAGUCCUAGCCGUAAACGAUGCAAACUUGGUGUUGGUGGGGUAAAAUCCGCCGGUGCCGAAGCUAACGCGAUAAGUUUGCCGCCUGGGAACUACGGCCGCAAGGUUA